UACGUAGGCAGCGAGCGUUGUUCGGAGUUACUGGGCGUAGAGGGUGUGUAGGCGGUUGUUUAAGUUUGGUGUGAAAUCUCCCGGCUCAACUGGGAGGGUGCGCCGAAUACUGAAUGACUUGGAGUGCGGGAGAGGUGAGUGGAAUUCCUGGUGUAGCGGUGAAAUGCGUAGAUAUCAGGAGGAACACCGGUGGUGUAGACGGCUCACUGGACCGUAACUGACGCUGAGACACGAAAGCGUGGGUAGCAGACAGG
Molecule: ribosomal RNA, 254 nt
Filed under: uncultured bacterium
Lineage: Bacteria
Description: partial 16S ribosomal RNA
Rfam family: Bacterial small subunit ribosomal RNA
Source: RNAcentral